GAAGAUCUGUCAAGUUGGCUUCAUGGCCAAUAUAAAUGUUGACAUGGUCCUCGAUUUGGACGAAUGCCAAUGAGUUUACAUUGGUUUUUCAUGAACGUCGUACGUGCAUGGCCAAUGUGAUUGUAUGGAGCUUUUCGUCAGGUCUAAAUUAUAGUCCAAACACCCAAUGUGAGUGUUUAGAAGCUCAAUUUCAUUUAUUUGUUGCACAAAAGCCAUCUAGAUUUCGCCUUUCAGAAGGCAUUCUUGAAAAUGACUCAAAAAGACUAAAAUAUACGUAAAACUCCUGAAAAACCUAAAUGCAAAGACAUUAAGAGCAAAGAACAAAAGAAAUAAGAUUAAUAAGAUUGUCAAUAAGAUAUAUCCACAAGCCACUUUCUGUAGAUUCACUACCACUGUUCAUGUUAAAAUUCUUUCUACAAAAACACACAAAAGAAAUAGAAAUUAAAGGGGAAAAAAAAAGAGCACGUGGAAAUUUGGAACUCCAGUUGGGCAGGUAGGUGAAAGUUGACAUCUUUGCACCUCCAGGUAGGUGACUUGUUGUGCUUAAUAUUUACUUGUGCAUAAUUCUGUUCUCUUUUCAUAUCCAUUGUCUUCUAUAAUGUUGUUAUAGUUAAAAUGAAACACUAUGAACUUACAUUUCUCAAAAAGAAAACAAUAUUAACUUGCACAUAAUAUUUUUGUUGAAUAAAUAAUUAAAUAUCGCCUUGAACAAAAAAAUAGAACUUGGUAAUAUAGGACUACCAAAACAGAAAAGAAAUAAGAACGUGGCCCAAAAUAAGAAGAAUGAAUCGAUUGAUAAUUUAUAAUUGGAAAUAUAUGUGGCAACAAAGUUAAUUAGAAAAGUUAAAAUUGUUAACAAGGAAAUCAGUAUAAGAGCAGCUCCAUUAGUAGAAUUUUAAGAGUAUCUCAACAAUUUAGAAAAAAGAAGAAAAUAGGAAAGAGAAAGUUAAACGUAUAUGUGCAGGCAUAUUUUGAUUGACACUUUAGAAACUAUCUUUACAUGUGCUAAUGUGUAAUUGUUCUGCUUAAUAUAUUUUAAUUAGAUAAUUUUAUGUUAUUAAAAUAUUAAUAAUUUUGGUUUAUUACUUAUUUCAGUUUUAAAGUUUGAUCAAUUUUAUGAGAGUACUAGAUCUUGAUCCGCGCAACAGCGCAGAUGUUUGCUUUUAGUUUUAUAUACUUAGAUAUUUA
Molecule: long non-coding RNA, 1188 nt
Filed under: Brassica rapa (field mustard)
Lineage: Eukaryota; Viridiplantae; Streptophyta; Magnoliopsida; Brassicales; Brassicaceae
Description: long non-coding RNA (BRAP_LNC001619)
Source: RNAcentral